GCUUUAAAAGCUUUUAGAAGCAUCGGUCUUGUAAAUCGAAGAACGAAACAAUUUCGUUAAAGCU
RNAcentral lists this transfer RNA (64 nucleotides) under Bathymodiolus securiformis. RNAcentral describes it as "tRNA-Thr". Lineage: Eukaryota; Metazoa; Mollusca; Bivalvia; Mytilida; Modiolidae. The record is from RNAcentral.